This 439-nucleotide ribosomal RNA is filed under the name uncultured bacterium. RNAcentral's name for it is "partial 16S ribosomal RNA". It matches the Rfam family "Bacterial small subunit ribosomal RNA", at positions 339 to 795 of the family's 1533-position model. The record is from RNAcentral.
CUACGGGACGCACCAGUGGGGAAUAUUGCACAAUGGAGGAAACUCUGAUGCAGCAACGCCGCGUGGAGGAUGACACUUUUCGGAGCGUAAACUCCUUUUAUAUAGGAAGAAGAUGACGGUACUAUAUGAAUAAGCGCCGGCUAACUCCGUGCCAGCAGCCGCGGUAAUACGGAGGGCGCAAGCGUUACUCGGAAUCACUGGGCGUAAAGAGCGUGUAGGCGGAUUAAAAAGUCAGAAGUGAAAUCCUAUAGCUUAACUAUAGAACUGCUUCUGAAACUCUUAAUCUAGAAUAUGGGAGAGGUAGAUGGAAUUUCUGGUGUAGGGGUAAUAUCCGUAGAGAUCAGAAGGAAUACCGAUUGCGAAGGCGGUCUACUAGAACAUUAUUGACGCUGAGACGCGAAAGCGUGGGGAGCAAACAGGAUUAGAUACCCCAGUAGUC